AACCAAUGGUCUCCUGAACGUGCGUUGCACCCUUGGGAUUUCCUGAGAGUAUGUCCGCUUCAGUGCUUAA
RNAcentral lists this ribosomal RNA (70 nucleotides) under Cladocopium sp. clade C. RNAcentral describes it as "partial 5.8S ribosomal RNA". Lineage: Eukaryota; Dinophyceae; Suessiales; Symbiodiniaceae. The record is from RNAcentral.